Castor canadensis (American beaver) is the source of this 1839-nucleotide long non-coding RNA. RefSeq lists it as uncharacterized. NCBI's taxonomy places the organism in Eukaryota, Metazoa, Chordata, Mammalia, Rodentia, Castoridae. The record is from RefSeq and is a predicted model, not a curated record.
GAGACUCUCGUCGGCCUGCGGGUGCCUGCUGCCGUCUGUUCUCUGGCAGAGGAGCUUCCAGAACCAGGGAAGACCCUGUGGGGAGGGUACGCGAGUGUUCCAGCCCUAGUGUUUGGGAGCAUGUGUGUGCAAGGUGUCAACGUACGUGUGCAAGUGAGCAUUUGUCUACACAGGUGAGUCCUUAAGCUUCGCAGUGUGGGUACUUGUCGAUGCACAGCCGGAUGCGUAAGGACACGGUAAAGCGUAUUUUGGAGUUUGUGCGUGGAGUAUGUCCUGGCAGUGGUGUACAGGUGAGCACGUCGGCCUGUUGCAUGUGUGUGCGUGUUCGGUUACUUGGAACGCUGUUGUGCACACGCCGGCGUAAGUGCAGGUGUACAUACCAGUCCGCGUGUCUUUGAACAAAGAUGUCGACGUGUACCAGUGUGUCUUAUUGGUGUGCGGGCUGUCUGGAUGUGUGCGUCUGCAGUUCUCCAGCCCCUGGUUCAGUCACCUAACCUCCCUUAGUGUCCCGGCCACCCAGGGGUCUGAACUCGGCCACUCACCGUGGCGGCGACUCCGGUUCCGGCUUCUUUCCGGACCCGACUCUCCUCGGACGGGUCGAGACACCUCUUCAGCUAUCAAGACUUCAGCCGGGAAAGCCCCUUUUCGGCCCCCGGGUGGGGGGAAUUCCCGUGACGUCUCCGUGCGUCACUCCCCAUUCCCUUUUUCAUUGGCUAAAAGUUUAACUCCGGGACUUGCGUAGCCAACCGGGAGCGACGCAACCGCGCCCCUUAGAGGAGAAAGGUUUGCACUGGGCCGGCAGCGGGAAUGAGGUUCCACCCAGCGGGAGCUCUGUCCGCUGGACCCGCCCGAGGGGAGGGGACCACUGGCAGAGUCCCGAGCCCCAAGCCCCACUCCUAGCCGAGAGCCCCGGCCCCGGUCUCUUCACCCGCCCAGGCUUGUCCUUCCGGGUGGGAGCCCUCGCUGCUGUUCGGCUUUUGCUGCGACUAGUGCUUGGCUACCUCUGAAGCUGGGGAACCCCAGGGGGCAGCCUGCAGGACCCAGCCGAGCCCCACUGCUCGGAAGUUAGGGGAAGAGGAAGGAAGUUGAUCUUGCGUUCAGUCCCAGAUCGCCAUCUGGCGGACUCUCUGAAGCCACAGGAAGACUCCGUACUGGCCCUUGGGGUCCCCUCGUCUCCUGCUUAGUCUAAAGGCAUCUGGAAGAGACCAUCUAUUACAACAGUGUAAGCGGUAGGUUCACAGCUCAUCAGGUUUUCAGGCUGACCUGAGUUCUACGGUGGGGAAGGAAAAGGUGUUGCCUAGGAGACGCAUUCAUCCACCAGGAACAUCUGGAACAUUAGAACUGAAAAGGCGUCCAAGUCUAAAUAAACUCUUGCCAGUGUAGAAAAUCGCCUCAUGACUGUGGGUGUAACUCACUGGUAGAGUGUGUGCUUUGCCUGUUGGAGUUCCUGCGAUUUAUCCCCGGAACUACAAGAAGACAGCAAGAAAAACCCCAAACAAAACACCUGAAAAUCGCCUCUUCCCAACUUCCAUUUGAGCUCUUCUAGUGGCAACAAGGUCAGGAUAGGAAUUCAGCAAGCAUUAACUCCGUGGCUGGACCUCUCUUGGUUGGUAGAGUUUCUCUUUAGGAGGUGCACAAGUGACCUCCAUUUCUGGAGUCCUCCUCGCUUAGACUUGUGGUGGAACACAGGCUAUUUCAGUCUCUCCUGCAACUUGCCCCAGGCCUUUUUUAGAACACAAUUACACGGCUGGAGGUCCAGUGGCAGAGCAUCUGCCUAGCAAGCAUUGAGUACUGAGUUCAUGAGUUUAAACCCUAAUACCACCAACCAAAAAAAAAAAA